This 217-nucleotide ribosomal RNA is filed under the name uncultured bacterium. Its description in RNAcentral is "partial 16S ribosomal RNA". It matches the Rfam family "Bacterial small subunit ribosomal RNA", at positions 1289 to 1500 of the family's 1533-position model. The record is from RNAcentral.
CAGUUCGGAUUGUUAGGCUGCAACUCGCCUACAUGAAGUUGGAAUCGCUAGUAAUCGCGAAUCAGAAUGUCGCGGUGAAUAACGUUCCCGGGGUCCGUUGUACACACCGCCCGUCACACCACGAGAGUUGGGGAUACCCGAAGCCUGUGAGCCAACUGUAAAGAGGCAGCAGUCGAAGGUAGAAUCAAUGAUUGGGGUGAAGUCGUAACAAGGUAUC